AACGAACGCUGGCGGCGUGCCUAAUACACGCAAGUCGCACGAGAAAGUCUUCGGAUGAGUAGAGUGGCGCACGGGUGAGUAAUACAUCGGAACAUACCUACAAGAGGGGGAUAACCACGGGAAACUGUGGCUAAUACCGCAUAAUAUCGCAAGAUUAAAGGGGGCCUCUAUUUAUAAGCUUUCACUUGUAGAUUGGCCGAUGUCCCAUUAGCUAGUUGGCGGGUAAAAGCCCACCAAGGCGACGAUGGGUAGCUGGUCUGAGAGGAUGAUCAGCCACACUGGAACUGAGACACGGUCCAGACUCCUACGGGAGGCAGCAGUAGGGAAUUUUGCACAAUGGACGAAAGUCUGAUGCAGCAACGCCGCGUGAGUGAAGAAGGCCCUUGGGUUGUAAAGCUCUUUCGGUUGGGAAGAAGGGUAGAUUGGCUAAUAUCCAAUUUACUGGACGGUACCAGAAGAAGAAGCACCGGCUAACUCCGUGCCAGCAGCCGCGGUAAU
This 498-nucleotide ribosomal RNA is filed under the name uncultured bacterium. Its description in RNAcentral is "bacterial SSU rRNA". It matches the Rfam family "Bacterial small subunit ribosomal RNA", at positions 29 to 524 of the family's 1533-position model. The record is from RNAcentral.